Molecule: ribosomal RNA, 403 nt
Filed under: uncultured Acetobacterium sp.
Lineage: Bacteria; Bacillati; Bacillota; Clostridia; Eubacteriales; Eubacteriaceae
Description: bacterial SSU rRNA
Rfam family: Bacterial small subunit ribosomal RNA
Source: RNAcentral
GGGGAAUAUUGCGCAAUGGGGGAAACCCUGACGCAGCAAUGCCGCGUGCGUGAAGAAGGUUUUCGGGUCGUAAAGCGCUUUUAUUGAGGAGGAAAGAAAGGCGUUGCCCAAGAAGAAAGGCCUGGUUAAAUACGCACCAGCAGCCGCGGUAAUACGUAGGGGACAAGCGUUGUCCGGAUUUACUGGGCGUAAAGGGCACGCAGGCGGUUUUUUAAGUCAGAUGUGAAAGGUACCGGCUCAACCGGUGACAUGCAUUUGAAACUGAAAGACUUGAGUAUUGGAGAGGCAAGUGGAAUUCCUAGUGUAGCGGUGAAAUGCGUAGAUAUUAGGAGGAACACCGGUGGCGAAGGCGGCUUGCUGGACAAAUACUGACGCUGAGGUGCGAAAGCGUGGGGAGCAAACA